This is a non-coding RNA of Megalopta genalis, 1047 nucleotides long. The record is from RefSeq and is a predicted model, not a curated record. NCBI's taxonomy places the organism in Eukaryota, Metazoa, Arthropoda, Insecta, Hymenoptera, Halictidae.
CAAUGUGCGUCAUUGAGGACGGAACGGCCGCCGCGCCGCGGCCAUACCCAUUUCGCGAAGUGCCGCCGAGCGUCGAGGCGGCAAUAAUCCCCGCAGUAACUCGGCUACAAAUAAUACGCGUUGAAAUUAGAGAAGUUUAUGGUAACGCGCGGAGCCUCGCUGUGGCCGCUUCCGGACCACGUUGAAAACAGUUCUGGCGCUUAGGGUAUCGUUCGCGACCCGUUAACGGUCCGAAGGCCACCGCUACCUGUGAUUAAACUGUGUCGUGGUGGUGGACGGCGAUGGACGAACCAUGAAAGAACUAGGAUAAGUCUUGCAGUUUGAUGCAAGCGAUGGUUGGCCGAGGUAUCUUCGCGCGGAGAACCGGUUCCAGGAAGCCAAGAAGCGUCGACGGAAGCGUGCGUGCGUGCAGUCACGCGUGCGCAUCCACGUCCUUCGCGAAGACGCAUAAGUCGCCACGGAUAAUUGGCUGGCGGCCCGCGGCCUGCGGCUCGAUGCCAUCGAUUUCCACCACCUGCUCGGCCGUAUUGCUGCGUCGAACGCUACCGCAAUAUUUAUUCGCGGACUUCUAGACGGAUCCGAGGGACGAACGGCGUGCCGUCGACUCUCCGCGGAAAAAUUCGGCAUUACUUUGCUGGAGCUGAUAAUGGCCAGUUGGAACGGGGCCCAGCAAAACAGUUUACGAACGAACACCCUUGCUCCUCAUUAUCUUACAUUUUAUUGCCGCUUUCGGGAUUCCUGGUUGGCCCACGGCUGUCCGAGAGAAGUUAUUUUGCUUUUUACUUUGGCCACAUCGCGUAGACGAAGACUUCGAUGGAAAAACCAUCUAGCUUCUUUUUUAUCACAAACAAGAUGCACCAAUGAUUGCGAAUAAACGCACUCUUAACGUUUAAGCACUUCGUACACCGAAAACGGUAGGGCUCGUUCGACUUUCAAAUUUUCAACAUUACAGACCGCUUGUAACACACGGAACAUUUUGUUAUACCUAUUAUAUUAAAAUAUUUGUGUUACCACAGGGGUAUCAAACUUAAAUUGCAUUUCGAAUUA